Molecule: ribosomal RNA, 386 nt
Filed under: uncultured bacterium
Lineage: Bacteria
Description: bacterial SSU rRNA
Rfam family: Bacterial small subunit ribosomal RNA
Source: RNAcentral
AUUGAACGCUGGCGGCAUGCCUUACACAUGCAAGUCGAACGGCAGCGGACCUUCGGGUGCCGGCGAGUGGCGAACGGGUGAGUAAUGCAUCGGAACGUGCCAUUGAGUGGGGGAUAACGUAGCGAAAGUUGCGCUAAUACCGCAUAUUCUGUGAGCAGGAAAGCAGGGGGACCGCAAGGCCUUGCGCUCUUUGAGCGGCCGAUGUCAGAUUAGCUAGUUGGUGAGGUAACGGCUUACCAAGGCGACGAUCUGUAGCGGGUCUGAGAGGAUGAUCCGCCACACUGGAACUGAGACACGGUCCAGACUCCUACGGGAGGCAGCAGUGGGGAAUUUUGGGACAAUGGGGGCAACCCCGAUCCAGCCAUGCCGCGUGAGUGAGAAGGCCU